UGAGGAAUAUUGGUCAAUGGACGAGAGUCUGAACCAGCCAAGUAGCGUGCAGGAUGACGGCCCUAUGGGUUGUAAACUGCUUUUGUUUGGGAAUAAUCGACAUUACGUGUAAUGUUUUGCAUGUACCAUUCGAAUAAGGACCGGCUAAUUCCGUGCCAGCAGCCGCGGUAAUACGGAAGGUCCAGGCGUUAUCCGGAUUUAUUGGGUUUAAAGGGAGCGUAGGCUGUUUGUUAAGCGUGUUGUGAAAUGUAAGAGCUCAACUUUUAGAUUGCAGCGCGAACUGGCAGACUUGAGUGCGCACAACGUAGGCGGAAUUCAUGGUGUAGCGGUGAAAUGCUUAGAUAUCAUGACGAACUCCGAUUGCGAAGGCAGCUUACGGGAGCGCAACUGACGCUAAAGCUCGAAGGUGCGGGUAUCGAACAGG
This 424-nucleotide ribosomal RNA is filed under the name Verrucomicrobiota bacterium. Its description in RNAcentral is "Verrucomicrobia bacterium partial 16S ribosomal RNA". It matches the Rfam family "Bacterial small subunit ribosomal RNA", at positions 355 to 776 of the family's 1533-position model. Lineage: Bacteria; Pseudomonadati; Verrucomicrobiota. The record is from RNAcentral.